GAGGACGUCUGAGCCAUGCUCGCGGCGAUGGGCUCUCUGGCGGCUGCCCUCUGGGCAGUGGUCCAUCCUCGGACUCUCCUACUGGGCACUGUCGCCUUUCUGCUCGCUGCUGACUUUCUCAAAAGACGGCGCCCAAAGAACUACCCGCCGGGGCCCUGGCGCCUGCCCUUCCUUGGCAACUUCUUCCUUGUGGACUUCGAGCAGUCGCACCUGGAGGUUCAGCUGUUUGUGAAGAAAUAUGGGAACCUUUUUAGCUUGGAGCUUGGUGACAUAUCUGCAGUUCUUAUUACUGGCUUGCCCUUAAUCAAAGAAGCCCUUAUCCACAUGGACCAAAACUUUGGGAACCGCCCCGUGACCCCUAUACGAGAACAUAUAUUUAAGAAAAAUGGAUUGAUUAUGUCAAGUGGCCAGGCAUGGAAGGAGCAAAGAAGGUUCACUCUGACAGCACUAAGGAACUUUGGUUUAGGAAAGAAGAGCUUAGAGGAACGCAUUCAGGAGGAGGCCCAACACCUCACUGAAGCAAUAAAAAAGGAGAACGGACAGCCUUUUGACCCUCAUUUCAAGAUCAACAAGGCAGUUUCCAAUAUCAUUUGCUCCAUCACCUUCGGAGAACGCUUUGAGUACCAGGAUAGUUGGUUUCAGCAGCUGCUGAAGUUACUGGAUGAAGUCACAUACUUGGAGGCUUCAAAGACAUGCCAGCUCUACAAUGUCUUUCCAUGGAUAAUGAAAUUCCUGCCUGGACCCCACCAAACUCUCUUCAGCAACUGGAAAAAACUGAAAUUGUUUGUUUCUCAUAUGAUUGACAAACACAGAAAGGACCGGAAUCCUGCAGAAACAAGAGACUUUAUUGAUGCUUACCUUAAAGAAAUGUCAAAGCACACAGGCAAUCCUACUUCAAGUUUCCAUGAAGAAAACCUCAUCUGCAGCACCCUGGACCUCUUCUUUGCCGGAACCGAGACAACUUCCACAACUCUGCGAUGGGCUCUGCUUUAUAUGGCCCUCUACCCAGAAAUCCAAGGGUACCAUGAUCCUGACCAAUUUGACGGCGCUGCACAGGGACCCCACAGAGUGGGCCACCCCUGACACAUUCAAUCCGGACCAUUUUCUGGAGAAUGGACAGUUUAAGAAAAGGGAAGCCUUUAUGCCUUUCUCAAUAGGAAAGCGGGCAUGCCUCGGAGAACAGUUGGCCAGGACUGAGCUGUUUAUUUUCUUCACUUCCCUUAUGCAAAAAUUUACCUUCAGGCCCCCAAACAAUGAGAAGCUGAGCCUGAAGUUUAGAAUGGGUAUCACCAUUUCCCCAGUCAGUCACCGCCUCUGCGCUGUUCCUCGGGUGUAAUAUUGUUAAGAAAGAAAGGGGCAAGGAAAGUAAGAAGACAUGGCAUGUGUUCUGAAACCACUGGUGUCUGCUCAGAUGUGUUGGGACAAAAUGAAAGUGACUUUCAAGAAAGAUCAGAGGAAUUUGACUCAGAGAAAACUAGAUCCAAAUCCCAGCUCUACUGUCUCGUCCAAAUUAGCCUUGGGAAAAUCAUUUAUAUGCUAAACAAUUUACCUUUUUAUCUAGGAGAUGAAAAGAGGAUAAUGAUUCCUUCCAUAAAGAAAGUUCUUGUAAGAAUCAAAAGAAAUGGUGAGCUUUAAGUGGUUUGUAAACCAUAAAACACAUCAUAAAA
This 1667-nucleotide small RNA is filed under the name Pan troglodytes (chimpanzee). Its description in RNAcentral is "processed transcript". The record is from RNAcentral. Lineage: Eukaryota; Metazoa; Chordata; Mammalia; Primates; Hominidae.